RNAcentral lists this ribosomal RNA (303 nucleotides) under uncultured fungus. RNAcentral describes it as "eukaryotic LSU rRNA". The stretch from base 1 to 52 matches the Rfam family "5.8S ribosomal RNA", at positions 103 to 154 of the family's 154-position model. The record is from RNAcentral. Lineage: Eukaryota; Fungi.
AACGCACCUUGCGCUCCCUGGUAUUCCGGGGAGCAUGCCUGUUUGAGUGUCGUGAAAUCAUCAUGGUCAUGAUCUUUAAUUAAUCAUGGCUUGGUUUUGGAGGUUAUGUUGGACUUGAUGUUCGACUCCUCUUGAAUGUAUUAGCUGGACUCUGUCGCUCCGUAGCGAGUUACUUACGCGGUGUGAUAGUUUAUUCAUCUCCGUGUGUUACUUGCGCGUAUACGCAGCCGGAAUUUGGCUUAUAAAAGACUUACAAUUUGACAAUCUGACCUCAAAUCAGGUAGGACUACCCGCUGAACUUAA